RNAcentral lists this ribosomal RNA (346 nucleotides) under Boophis sp. 42 MV-2009. RNAcentral's name for it is "partial 16S ribosomal RNA". It matches the Rfam family "Bacterial large subunit ribosomal RNA", at positions 2086 to 2597 of the family's 2925-position model. The record is from RNAcentral. Lineage: Eukaryota; Metazoa; Chordata; Amphibia; Anura; Mantellidae.
AGACCCCAUGGAGCUUUAAACCCAACAGCACCCGCUUACUUUAUACCCAAUUAUAUGCCCGUUGCCUGUCUGCUCGGUUUUAGGUUGGGGUGACCACGGAGUACAAAAUAACCUCCAUGAAAAAGGGGAUAAAUACCCUUAUUAGAGAACAACACUUCCAAAAACUAACAAAUUAAUUUCUAAUGAUCCGACAUUCGAUCAACGAACCAAGUUACCCUGGGGAUAACAGCGCAAUCCACCCCGAGAGCUCCUAUCGACAGGUGGGUUUACGACCUCGAUGUUGGAUCAGGGUAUCCCAGUGGUGCAGCAGCUACCAACGGUUCGUUUGUUCAACGAUUAAAACCCU